This 966-nucleotide ribosomal RNA is filed under the name Macropostrongyloides yamagutii. RNAcentral describes it as "16S ribosomal RNA". The record is from RNAcentral. Lineage: Eukaryota; Metazoa; Nematoda; Chromadorea; Rhabditida; Strongylidae.
AUAACAGUGAUUUGUAUAGAGUUAGGUAUUGCAUAUCAUUUAAUAAAAUUUUUAUAAAAAUAAAAAAUAGAAUUAAAAGGUAGAAAAAUUUAUUAUUUUUAUUGUUUCAUAAUAAAAAUUAUAAUUUUUAGUGUUGAAAAGUCGACUUUUAAGAUAUCUGUGUUAUUAUAGUGUAAUUAGAAAUUUAUUAUUAUUAUUUGAGUUUGUAUAAAAAGUAAAAGUUAGAGUAUUUGUAUUAUUAGUUUUAUAACUGUUUAUUCAAUUUAUUUUUAGUUAUAUUUAUUUUAUAAUAAAUUUUUAUUAUAUAGAUUAUAUUAAAAUUAGUAGUUAAAUUUAAAUCAAGUUAAUUUAAUUUAAUUUAAUCAAAAAACUCAGAAGUUGAUCAAAUGUUUUUUAAAGACUUAGACUUUAAAUUAAAGUUUGCUUCUGCCCAAUGAAUAUUAUUAAAUGGCAGUCUUAGCGUGAGGACAUUAAGGUAGCAAAAUAAUUAGUGCUUUUAUUGAGUUCCAGUAUGAAUGAAGUUAUUGGUUAAUUUAUUUUUUGAUUUUAAAAUGAAUUUUUAAUUGAUUAUAAGAAAGUAUUAGUAUAAUAAUACAAAGAUAAGUCUUCGGAAAUUUUAUUUUAGUUACUAUCAGUAUAAUAGUAACUAAAAAUUAUCUAGGGCAGAAAUAUAUAUAUUUGUAGUAUCUAUUAAUAAUUAAAAGAAUUACUCCGGAGUUAACAGAAAAUCAUAUCUGAUCUAGUACUUAUAGUAAGAUAAGUUUUACAUCGAUGUUGUAUUUAAGUAAAUUAAAAAAGGAGAAGAUUUAUAAUUUAAGACUGUUCUUCUUUUAAUAAACUUAACGUGAUAUUAGUUUAAUUCAUUGUGAGAUAGAAUUGUUUAUCUUGAUUAUUAUUAAGAAUUAAUUUUAAUAGUACGAAAGGAAAAUUAAAAAAGAUUUUAAAUUUUUAUAAGUUUAAGGACUU